This 253-nucleotide ribosomal RNA is filed under the name uncultured microorganism. Its description in RNAcentral is "partial 16S ribosomal RNA". It matches the Rfam family "Bacterial small subunit ribosomal RNA", at positions 524 to 776 of the family's 1533-position model. The record is from RNAcentral.
AACGUAGGGGGCGAGCGUUAAUCGGAUUUACUGGGCGUAAAGGGGGCGUAGGCGGCCGUGAAAGUCCGGUGUGAAAACUCACGGCUCAACCGUGGGACUGCGCUGGAAACUACACGGCUUGAGGACGGUAGAGGGAGACGGAACUGCUGGUGUAGGGGUGAAAUCCGUAGAUAUCAGCAGGAACGCCGGUGGAGAAGUCGGUCUCCUGGGCCGUUCCUGACGCUGAGGCCCGAAAGCUAGGGGAGCAAACCGG